Molecule: transfer RNA, 72 nt
Filed under: Camelus bactrianus (Bactrian camel)
Lineage: Eukaryota; Metazoa; Chordata; Mammalia; Artiodactyla; Camelidae
Also listed under: 2 other names
Rfam family: tRNA
About the family: Transfer RNA (tRNA) molecules are approximately 80 nucleotides in length.
Source: Rfam by way of RNAcentral
GGGGGUGGAGCUCAGUGGUAGAGUGUGUGCUUGGCGUGCACAAGGUCCGGGGUUCAAUCUCCAGUACCUCCA